This 468-nucleotide ribosomal RNA is filed under the name uncultured bacterium. RNAcentral's name for it is "partial 16S ribosomal RNA". It matches the Rfam family "Bacterial small subunit ribosomal RNA", at positions 28 to 507 of the family's 1533-position model. The record is from RNAcentral.
GACGAACGCUGGCGGCGUGCUUAACACAUGCAAGUCGAACGGAAAGGCCCUGCUUUUGUGGGGUGCUCGAGUGGCGAACGGGUGAGUAACACGUGAGUAACCUGCCCUUGACUUUGGGAUAACUUCAGGAAACUGGGGCUAAUACCGGAUAGGAGCUCCUGCUGCAUGGUGGGGGUUGGAAAGUUUCGGCGGUUGGGGAUGGACUCGCGGCUUAUCAGCUUGUUGGUGGGGUAGUGGCUUACCAAGGCUUUGACGGGUAGCCGGCCUGAGAGGGUGACCGGCCACAUUGGGACUGGGAUACGGCCCAGACUCCUACGGGAGGCAGCAGUGGGGAAUAUUGCACAAUGGGCGGAAGCCUUAUGCAGCAACGCCGCGUGCGGGAUGACGGCCUUCGGGUUGUAAACCGCUUUCGCCUGUGACGAAGCGUGAGUGACGGUAAUGGGUAAAGAAGCACCGGCUAACUACGUG